GCAUCGGAGGUUCAGUGGUAGAAUGCUCGCCUGCCACGCGGGCGGACCAGGUUCGAUUCCCGGCCGAUGCA
This 71-nucleotide transfer RNA is filed under the name Cordylochernes scorpioides. Its description in RNAcentral is "tRNA-Gly". It matches the Rfam family "tRNA". Rfam says of the family: Transfer RNA (tRNA) molecules are approximately 80 nucleotides in length. Their secondary structure includes four short double-helical elements and three loops (D, anti-codon, and T loops). Lineage: Eukaryota; Metazoa; Arthropoda; Arachnida; Pseudoscorpiones; Chernetidae. The record is from RNAcentral.